Molecule: ribosomal RNA, 3201 nt
Filed under: Brassica rapa (field mustard)
Lineage: Eukaryota; Viridiplantae; Streptophyta; Magnoliopsida; Brassicales; Brassicaceae
Description: eukaryotic LSU rRNA
Rfam family: Eukaryotic large subunit ribosomal RNA (bases 345-2159)
Source: RNAcentral
ACGACUUUUGGCAAUGGAUAUCUCUCGCCUCGAUCGAUGAAUAAUGUAGCAAAAUGCGAUACUUGAGGUGAAUUGUUGAAUCCCGUGAACCAUCGAAGUCUUUUGAACGCAAGUCAUACCUCAAGCUUUCGCCGCCGAGGGCACGCCCCGGGUGGUGUCACAAUAUUCCCCCCAUCCUCUCGAGGAUAGGGACUAAGCUGAUCUCCCCGCGGUGUUACCGCGAUGCGUUGGCCAAAAUCCAAGCUAAGGACGCCAGAGCGCCUUUGACAUGCGGUGGUGAAUUCAAUUCUCGCCAUAUAGUCGACGCUCCGUCCAAAAGCUCUUGAUGACCCAAAGUCCUCAACGCGACCCAUGUCAGGCAGGAUCAUCCGCUGAGUUUAAGCAUAUCAAUAAGCGGAGGAAAAAACUAACAAGGAUUCCCUUUAGUAACGGUGAGCGAACCGAAUAGCCCAACUUGAAAAUCGACGCCUUUGGCGCUAGAAUUGUAGUCCGAGAAGCGCCCCUCAGCGACGGACCGGGCCCAAGUUCCCCGGGAAAGGGGCGCCAGAGAGGGUGAGAGCCGCUGUGCCAGGAGACCCUAUCGCAUCAUCGAGGCACUGUCUACGCGGUCGGGUUGUUUGGGAAUGCAGCCCCAAUCGGGCGGUAAAUUCCGCCCAAGGCUAAAUGUGGGCGAGAGACCGAUAAUAACAAGUACCGCGAGGUAAAGAUGAAAAGGACUUUGAAAAGAGAGUCAAAGAGUGCUUGAAAUUGUCGGAGGGAAGCAGAUGGGGCCGGUGAUUCUUCCCGUUGAUGCGGAGCGGAGCAAUCCGUAUACCAAUCGAUUCGCCAUGGACCAACGCGGAUUAUGGUGGUGAUGUAAGCACGGGCUUUUGUUACCGCGGAGAGACGCCGCUGCCUUUAAUUGUGGUUCUGGCAGACGCGCCUUCACGGCGCGCGGCUCGCAUCUGCGUGCUCGGGCGCCAACCUGUGGGCUCCCCAUUAGACCCAUCUUGAAACACGGACCAAGCUGAGUCUGACAUGUGCGAAGUCAACGGGUGAGUAAAACCGUAAGGCUAAAGGAAGCUGAUUGGCUGAUCCUCACGGGUGCAGAGCCGAACCGACCUUUGAUCUUCUCGAGAAGGGUUAGAGGUGAGCAUAUUCUGUCGGGACCCAAAGAUGGUGAACUAUGCCUGAGCGGGCUGGCCGAGGAAACUUCUGGUGGAGGCCCGCAGCGAUACCGACGCGCAAAUCGCUCGCCUGACUUGGGUAUAGGGUGAAAGACUAAUCGAACAAUCUAGUAGCUGGUUCCUCCGGGUUUUCCCCUUAGAUAGCUUUAGAGGCAUCAGGGAUGCAAUGUCCUCCACAUAUUCUCAAACUUUAAAUAGGUAGGACGGGUGGUUGCUUUGUUGAGCCAUCCCACGGAAUUGAGAGCUCCAAGGGGCCAUUUUGGUAAGCAGAACUGGCGAUGCGGGAUGAACUGAAGUUGGGCUAUGGUGCCCAACUCUGGCGCUUAACCUAGAACCGACAAAGGGUGUUGGUCGAUUAAGACAGCAGGACGGUGGACAUGGAAGUUGAAAUCCGCUAAGGAGUGUGUAACAACUCACCCGUCAAUCAACUAGUCCCAAAAUGGAUGGCGCUGAAGCGCGAACCUAUACCCGUCAGUCGGGCAAGAGCCAGGCCUCAAUGAGUAGGAGGGUGCGGCGGUCGCUGCAAAACCUAGGGUGUGAGCCCGCGGAGCGGCCGCUGGUGCAGAUCUUGGUGGUAGUAGCAAAUAUUCAAAUGAGAACUUUGAAGGUCAAGAGGGAAAGGUUCUAUGAAACGGCACUUUUGCACAUGGGUUAGUCGAUCCUAAGAGUCGGGGAAACUCAUUGAUAGCGCUUUAUGCGAAACUUCGAAGGGGAUCCGUUAAAAUUCUGGAACCAGGACGGGCGGUUGACGGCUACGCUAGGAAGUCCGAGACGCCGGGCGGAUUCCGAAAGAGUUAUCUUUUCUGUUUAACAGCCUGCCCACCCUCUGAAAACGCUCAGCCGGAGGUAGGUUCCAGCGGCUGGAAGAGUGAUAUACCUUGAUUUGACCCGCUUUCAUCCAUGGUGUUUUACUAUAUUAUAUAUCUAUGUUUUCUACUCUUCUAGGUAUGUUUUCAGUUUCAGGUGCAUUUCGGAGUAAAGCUAUGACUUCGUAGCAUUUUGAAGCUUAAAAGACAUUUCAUCCGAGCUGACCAUGUAGAGGUCGAAGAGAGGAAGAACAAUCGAUCGAUGCACAUCCAGUGCUGUCGAUCGACACCAUGAAAUGCCUCGACAAAUGAAGAUUAAUAUCGAUCGAUGUACACAAGUACCAUCGAUCGAUGUCGGUGACAUUGACAUGCGAUCUUUUAGAUCCAGCGGACUUGAAGCCCAAGUCCAAGCUAAAUUACAAAAAAUGCCCUGACGAAGUUUUAAUCUAGUAGAUUAUAUACUGCCUAAGUGUUUUGACGGCAGAGAGAGUUUUUGUUACAGUUUUACUUUGAGAGAGAGAGAGAGAGUUUUGGAGAGAAGAUCACUUGUGAUUGAACUCCUUGUUUUCAUUUCUUUUCAUCUAUAUUAGAUCCAGGGUUCAGAUAGGUUUGUGGGAUUAGUCCCAAACUUUAGAUCUGCCUUUGUUGUGAUAUUCAUGAUAGAUUUGUAUUCAAUGCUUGUUUUAGCCUUGGUAACUAGAAUGUGGGAACCGAAAUUCGCGACUGUCGAUUUCCGCUUAAAUAAGGAAACUAGAAAACCCUAAUUUCCCAGAGGUCCCGGAUUUCGCGAGAGCAAAACGACAAGUGACCAAACAUAUGUGGAAAUCGUGAAAAGAUAACAAACGAAGUUUAGAGAAAACAGUAGAUCUUAUUUCGAAUCAUGUAAGAGCGCUAUGAUCAUUACAAGGGAUCAUAAAAGCUUUUGGUCGCAAAGGCUAUCAGCGAAGUUACCUAGUUCUAGCAGCCUAAAAGCUCAAACCUAGUUGAGUCGCAGCUCGAUAACAAAAAGACUAAAAAGAUAUAUAAAAGGUUUUUGAUUGAUUUCGACUGAACCUUGUUAAAGGCUGCCACGCACUCCCUUUCGAGGAUCAAGCCGAACGAGUUCAAUUGAUAGAGCUGGACAAGAGAUCGAACUGCCUGGGCGAAGUUCGCCUAGUAAUUGAGUGCCAGUCAUAGAAACCGAACUUGUCGAGAAUAAAGCCUAAAGUUUCUAAGUGCAGAGAAUUCGA